RNAcentral lists this ribosomal RNA (504 nucleotides) under uncultured bacterium. RNAcentral's name for it is "bacterial SSU rRNA". It matches the Rfam family "Bacterial small subunit ribosomal RNA", at positions 28 to 520 of the family's 1533-position model. The record is from RNAcentral.
GACGAACGCUGGCGGCAUGCCUAAUACAUGCAAGUCGAACGCGAUUAGCCGGUGCUUGCACUGGCGAAGUCGAGUGGCGAACGGGUGAGUAACACGUGAGAAACCUACCCUGGAGUGGGGAAUAACUCGAAGAAAUUCGAGCUAAUACCGCAUACCUUCUUACCGUCGAAUGGUGGUUUGAAGAAAGAUUUAUCGCUCUGGGAGGGUCUCGCGGCCUAUCAGCUAGUUGGUGAGGUAACGGCUCACCAAGGCAUCGACGGGUAGCUGGUCUGAGAGGACGAUCAGCCACACUGGAACUGAGACACGGUCCAGACUCCUACGGGAGGCAGCAGUAGGGAAUCUUGCGCAAUGGGCGAAAGCCUGACGCAGCAAUGCCGCGUGCGGGACGAAGGCCCUAGGGUCGUAAAGCACUUUCAGUGGGAAGAACGGAUACGGGCCAAUACCCCGCAUCACUGACGUUACCCACAGAAGAAGCACCGGCUAACUCCGUGCCAGCAGCCGCGG